Molecule: transfer RNA, 66 nt
Filed under: Solecurtus divaricatus (divaricate short razor)
Lineage: Eukaryota; Metazoa; Mollusca; Bivalvia; Cardiida; Solecurtidae
Description: tRNA-Trp
Source: RNAcentral
UGGGCUAUAAGUUAAUUAGACUGGAAGUUUUCAGCACUUCAAGUGGGGAGGGUUCCUUUGGCUCAG